This 497-nucleotide ribosomal RNA is filed under the name uncultured bacterium. Its description in RNAcentral is "partial 16S ribosomal RNA". It matches the Rfam family "Bacterial small subunit ribosomal RNA", at positions 28 to 507 of the family's 1533-position model. The record is from RNAcentral.
GAUGAACGCUGGCGGCGUGCCUAAUACAUGCAAGUAGAACGCUGAAGGAGGGAGCUUGCUCUUUCCGGAUGAGUUGCGAACGGGUGAGUAACGCGUAGGUAACCUGCCUGGUAGCGGGGGAUAACUAUUGGAAACGAUAGCUAAUACCGCAUAACAGUAGAUGUUGCAUGAUAUCUACUUAAAAGGUGCAAUUGCACCACUACCAGAUGGACCUGCGUUGUAUUAGCUAGUUGGUGAGGUAACGGCUCACCAAGGCGACGAUACAUAGCCGACCUGAGAGGGUGAUCGGCCACACUGGGACUGAGACACGGCCCAGACUCCUACGGGAGGCAGCAGUAGGGAAUCUUCGGCAAUGGACGGAAGUCUGACCGAGCAACGCCGCGUGAGUGAAGAAGGGUUUCGGAUCGUAAAGCUCUGUUGUAAGAGAAGAACGAGUGUGAGAGUGGAAAGUUCACACUGUGACGGUAUCUUACCAGAAAGGGACGGCUAACUACGUG